CGAUUCAUAUUAGGAAGGUGCACAAUUAAUCUCUCGACACAAGGUUCGCGACCAUGGAUACUGUAUGCAAACAUUCGUAGGAAAGCUUCACAUGCAGAAAGAUACCUACCAGAUAUAAAAUAUAAAUUAAUUAAUAAAAUGAAAGAACGACACAUACCAACACCGCAUAGUUUUCGUGCUGAUUUGUUUUAAUUAGAUGAAUUAAUUAUACAUUCAUGCACCUAAUAUAUAAUCAUCAAUUUCAUUUCUGCCGGUAGGAGAAGGAACUGUAAAAAAUACUACGUGGCCUAUUAUCAAUAUCGAUACGCA
RNAcentral lists this long non-coding RNA (309 nucleotides) under Hordeum vulgare. RNAcentral's name for it is "long non-coding RNA (HVUL_LNC005180)". The record is from RNAcentral. Lineage: Eukaryota; Viridiplantae; Streptophyta; Magnoliopsida; Poales; Poaceae.